CUUCGACGCGUCCACCACUUGCGCCCGCGAUCACGUCGCGCUUCCACCGGCUCCGAUCUCCAUCCCUUUCUGUGUGAGGUCGGUCAUCAUGUUUGGGGGUGCGCCGGGGAGUGACCGUCCCGAUUACUAUGAGAUUCUUGGUGUUGCAAAGAGUGCAAGCCAGGAUGAGCUGAAGCAGGCCUAUAAGAAGGCAGCCAUGAAGAAUCAUCCUGAUAAAGUUGGUGACGCUGAGAAAUACGAGGAGUUGUCUCAAGCAUAUGGAGUUCUCAGUGACCCUAACUAAAAAGAGGGAAAUUGAUGAUAAAUACAGGAAAGAUGCCCUCAUGGGAGGUGGAGACAAAUCUCAUAAUCCUUUUGAAACAUGUGAACAUUUUUUGUGGCGGUGGCACCUUUGGAGGUGGCAACUCUAGACAUUAUAUAUACCUAGAGACGUGGUGAAGAUGUAGUUCAUAGCUAACGGUUUCUUUAGAAGACUUGUACAACGGUGCAUGCAAAAAGAUUUCCCGGUCGAGAAAUGUGCCAUGUCCAAAAUGCAUAGGGUUAUAGAUAAGUGGAAACUUGUAGCAAAACUACUUGUCCUUUGAUUGAUUCUACUUGUCCACGAAAGGCUCCAACAGUGGGAAAUCAGAGACAUCCCAUUCAUGUCAAGGUAGAGGCUUGAAGAUUGUAACAAGAAUGCUUGGAUUAGGCAUGAUCCGACAAAUGCAACAUACGUACGAGCAAUACAGCAGCUCAGGCGAGAUCAUCGGCAGAAAGGAUAAGUGCCCUCGGUGCAAAGGAAAAAAGGUUAUCCAGGAGAAGAAGUUACUGGAGGUGCAAAGGAAUGCAACAUAGAAGAUUGUAAUCCGAGGAGUGAAGCUCCUGACACAGUGGCGGGACACAUUAUCGUACAACUCCAGGAGCAUCCACAGUUCAAGAGAGCAUUUGGUGAUCUCUAUGUGGAGCAUUGGCUCAGUCUGGCACAGGCAUUUUGUGCCUUCCACAAUUUGCUCUGACUCAUCUCGAUGGUAGAGGGUUGCUCAUCCAGUUAAAUCCAGGGGAAGUCGUGAAACCUGGUAAAUCUUAUAAUUGCUUCACCUUCUCUUAUUAGUUUUCAGCUUCCAUGUAACAACAUUAAUCUGGCAUGU
Molecule: long non-coding RNA, 1127 nt
Organism: Musa acuminata AAA Group (dessert banana)
Lineage: Eukaryota; Viridiplantae; Streptophyta; Magnoliopsida; Zingiberales; Musaceae
Exons: 7
Source: RefSeq, a predicted model, not a curated record